UCUCUCUCUCUCUCUCUCUCUCUCUCUCUCUCUCUCUCUCUAAUAAAGAAAUGAAGCAGUAACUUACUUAGCCAUGCAGUAAAGCUAUAACCACUUCUCUCUUCUUUCCUUACUACAAAAGCCAAAUUCUUUCUCACUUAAACGCACCAAUCUCUCAUCUAUUCUUUGUUUUUCUACCACAACUCAAAAAUAUACAAGGCAUUAAUUUCUUUGUAUUAUAUAUUUGAGAAACUAUUUAUACAAAUAGGGUUUUGUUUUUUGGCUUAAUUAGAGAGAUGUACAAGAACCUAUGGAAAUUUCUUUUGCAUCUACUUGUGUUUCUCGGAGCUAUUUUGAUAAUCGUCGCAGCUGCAGAAAACAAUAGAGGUACAAGAAUCAAGAACAUUGGAAAUACAAACCGCCACCACCACCACCAUCACCACCACCGCCGCCACGUGGAAGAGCGGAAUUAUAAUACGGGAAGAAAUCAUGAAAACACGAAGCAUGUAAUUAGUAGAGCUGCUGUUUCAAAGUUUGAUCUCAACUACACGAGCAAAAGAAAGAUACCUAAUGGACCUGAUCCUAUUCACAACAGGUCUGUCAUUUUAUUUAUUUUUAUUUUUUAAAUAUGUAUAUCUAUAUAUAUUUUUAUUCAUAAAUUCAAAACUUAAAAAACCAUGCUAUAUGUAUAUUGCAUCCAAAUAAAGCAAUAAAGAGAGCCACUCACCACUUUAUCCUUUUGUUGAACACAUUUAAUAAAGUUCAAUUUUAAAAUAUUUAAUUUUUGUUUUCUACCCUUUUGAGGGUUUGAUUUUCAGAAGCACCUUUAUAAGUACAAUGGCUUUAGUACGUAGCCUACCACUAUUCAUUCUAUAAUAAUAAUAAUUUCAUUUUCUGUUUUAUUGAAAAAAAUAAAUAUAUCUUAGUAAAUUAUGGAAUUUUAUUAUAAUAAUAUAGUAAAUUAAUUAUAUCGGCGUUUUUCAGACGACAAACACCUGGCCGGCAAGCUUAGGCAGAGGACUACGCAUGAUCACAAUUGUUGCAGCCAUGCAAGAGUUUUCCAUCUCGUAUUUUCUGGAAUACUUCGAUCGAUUUUUUUUUAAUUUAAUUAAAUGUCAGAAAUAUUUUGGCUUGUUCAUUUUUUUUCUUUUCUUUUCACUAAAAAAAUAUGCAAUUUGGUACAGAAAUUUCAUGAGAAAAAUCAUUAGGCGAAAUUAAUUGUGGUACAAAUAUUAAAUCCACA
This 1222-nucleotide long non-coding RNA is filed under the name Erythranthe guttata (spotted monkey flower). RNAcentral's name for it is "long non-coding RNA (EGUT_LNC003313)". Lineage: Eukaryota; Viridiplantae; Streptophyta; Magnoliopsida; Lamiales; Phrymaceae. The record is from RNAcentral.